GGAGACUGAAGCAGGAAGUAGACAGAUGUCGAGUCAUCAGCAAACAGAUGAUGAUCCGGAGCAACUGAGGGGGUCAGUAUCUUGCCCAGGGAUACUUCAACAUGGUCACAGGAGAAGUGAAGAUCGAACCAGCAACUUUAAGCCCACUCAUACAUGCACAAUAAAGAUGCGGUGAUGAUCGGAGUGCCGGUGAACACAUCAGGAGGUCGUGUAGCGGGAAUGACGGACUAAAUCAAGAUCUUCCAUCCCGACUCACCCUCCACGCAGCGGCAGCCGGACUGCAGCACCCAGGCGUACAUGUCGGUCUUGGAAUGUGAGAGGAGCUGGUCACCGGUCAGGUAGGUGUUAUGAGAGGAGGCGAUGAAGUAGUUACUCAGAGGCUGAUCCAUGUCCUGAUUGACCUCAUUGUGCAAAGGGUUGAAAAUGUCACAUGUUGGACUUCGCAUGAAACUUGUAAAACCUGCAUGGAAACAUCAGGGAUGCAAUAUUGAUUUGUUGAUAAAAGCCAUUCAGUUCUAUUUAUUCUAUUAAUGUCAACUGUCAGUAUUAAAGAAAGACACAUUUCUCCAUCAGUCGAUUGCAUGUUUACAAUCCUAACUUGGAAAUAAUAGACAAUGGCCAUAUGGAACUCAAUAUUCUUCUUCAAUCGUCAUACAUUUUCUUGUUGCAAUAUAACUUUAUUCCCAUAAUCCUUAAACUUUGAUAUUUUGUAUUUUUACAACCUUUUCCCCAACCUACUGUUCCAAAACGACAACUUUGUUGUGUUUUGCUUGCUUACAAAUAUAUUACAACUUACAAUAUUAGUACGGAUGCUCCGAUCAAUCGGCCACCAAUUAGUAUCGGCUGAUAUCAGUGAAAAAUUAUGCUAUUGAUAUCGGGACGCAUAUGAAAGUAUAUGUGUUUUAUACAGCGUUUUUGUAAUAUCAGUUUUCACGAUUGGCAAAAAAAUCUGAUCCAAUAUCACAUUUUUAUGCUGAUAUCGGGCCGAUAAUUAUCAGUCAUCCGUAACUCUUUCAUUAGUUUCGGCCUUUUUUUCCGUUCUUUAAUAAUCAGCAGUCGAACAUGGGCAAGUUUCAGCCAAAUAUCCCUUCUCAACAAAAUGGCUUUUUGUGAAAAGAUACAUUGGCAAAAAUUUUUGCCAUUUAUAUUUAAGCCACAAUGUCUAAACAACGAUGCCACGACAUAAGGACAAACAAUUGUUGUUUUACAUGAAAACGCUUAUUUAAAUAACCAUUUUUUUUUAACAAAUAUGAACUAUUUACAGUUUUCACAUUUCAAACUGAACUGAGUGUGUGCAAGCGGUAAAAUGUCCCUUCAAUGUGUAACCUUGGUGCAACACGGCAAGAUGCCUUUUCACUUCCUGGUUGCUGUGGCACAUGUAUUUCUAUGGGGAAGAUGCAGGCCGAGGUCGUAUAAAAUGCACUUCUUUCACUUUUUUUCGUUUUCGACAUGUUGUCUUCUAUUUUAUGGUAAUGGUAAUGGUUUUAUUUCAUUUGAACAUGCAUCAGAUUACAAUUGAGUGCAUCCCAUAAUCAGUUCACAGUUCCACAUGUCCAAAAGGAGUAGGAAGAAGCAAAGCUUAUUAAAUCCUACCCCUCCAUCUGGUACUUUUACAAUCAGUAACUGUUACAUUUGUUCACUUCCUGCUUUCCAUAAUAUAGUUUACUUUUACAAUCAAUAACAAUUUCAUUUGUUCACUUCCUGCUUUCCAUAAUACAGUUUAAGGUUUUUUUUUGUUUUUUUUUAAUAAUGUACCACAUACCGAAGUACAAGGUGAUAUGACCAUACAAUGCCAUAAUGGGUACCAUAGUAAGUGUCAAUAUAGUGAUAUAUAUAGCACAUCAUGACUGGUUCAAGACUCUUCAUCCUUGUAUUUAGCAAACAUCAACUGCUUGUAUUGUUUCUUCAAUUGGCUCAUCGUUGUGCAUUGUUUGAGUUCCUUACUCAAUCCAUUCCAUAGUUUGAUUCCACAUACUGAAAUGCUAUGGCUUUUUAACGUAGUCCUAGUAUAUACGUGUUUCAAAUUUAAAUUUUAGAGUUGCAUAAUCACCUCUUUGUGCCUCUCGUGCAAAAAAAAAAAAGAUGUACAAACUAACUAACUAACUAUAUGUUUCUUCCACAUAUUUUUCUUACACAAUUUUACAUGUUUAAAGAGGUGGUGCAUCACAUCCACCUUGUCGUUGUAAAAUAACACCAUAUCAAUACGGCGUGGCAACAUGACAAGAUCUCUUCAUCCAUCUCCAACCCAAGCACAAGGAAGUGAUGGAUGUGCUUCUCUGUCUUUGUAAUGGUAACGCAUGAGGACCCACAAGAGCGAAGAAAGCCUUCAUUCACCCCGGCGGCAUGGAUGAAUGAGACGGGAAUAUCAAACGGAUGAGAGAACUGCCAGAGUCAGUCGGUUGGGGGUGGAGCCCGUUGUGGUGGAGAAAUGGACUCAAUGCAGAUGUGUGAGAGAAAAUGCAUUUAUCUGUCUGGACAUCCAUCUUGUCACACUUCCAUUAAAUCCUCGCAAUAUUAGCAAUUCUUAUGACGGGAAUAUUCCAUCUGAUUUGCGGUUAUCGUGCUGAGAACAGGUUAGUUCAAUAGCAUGUGUGUCACAUUGUGGGCCUGUAGACAUCACCCGCCACGGCGUGAAUGCACGACUCACGGCGCCUCCUACGAUGACAUUAGUGUCGCUCCUACACCUUCUCAUCGCCUCCAGCUGGCUGUUUUCGCUCAGACUCCCCAAUUUUCUCAGGCCUCUUCACUCUGUCACCUCCCUUGCAACCUGCAACCUCCCUUCAACCUGCAAGCAGCCUGCCUUGCCAUGACACUGUGGGAAAGGGGGCCGGCUGGCGAGCAUUUCCAAAGACUAAAUUAUUUAUGACAAAAGUAUUUGGAAAGCUGGCCAUUACGAAAAUGUACGAGUUCCUACUUAUUUUUUGCAGCUGUAAGACUUUCUACUCUUCUGGUAAGAUUUUCUCCAGGAUGUUUGAGUAUUUUUGUCAAACGCCGGCGAAAUCUGUCUGAAUCUUUUCUUCCAGAGCAUAAAUAGAAGCUAGCAGUGGUUAGCUUAAUUUUGGAUGCCAAGUAGUUGUGUGUGUGCAUACGCGACGGGCUGGAUGAGUAUAUUUUCACCACUUUGUGUUUUAUUUCUUUAAUGUUUGGACGUUUUACAAUGUCCAAUGAAGAUGUGCAGUGAAAGAAAAAUAUGAGAAGCACGUUUAUUUAACUUACCCUCGAUUCCCAGGACACCUUUUUCUUUGUUCUCAUCCGCCGCCUCAAAUUUGUUGAUGAUUUCUGCCACGUAUUCUGGGGUCACAUUGACCAUCUGCGGAAAGAAAAAGCUCAAUGCCUUGUUUGGUUCUGUAACAUCAUAUUCACAAUCAUCAAGGCUAAUUUCUAAGCAUACACACGCCUGAUGAAAAUGUUAAGACCAUUGGAAAAAUGGCAAGAAUGUAUAUUUUGCACUGUAGGAUCUUAAGGAGGUUCUAAGUAGAGCAAAAAAGAAUGGGAGUGGCACGGCAUUAUAAAGAGGCCAAGUGCUCUCUGGAACUGAUUUUUGUAAACUUCCAUUCCCAUCCAUCCCCACUGCUCCUAUUGAAGGAUCAUGAUGGCGCCCUCUCCACUGUGCCAUCUGGAAAACAUCUCAGGUGGGAUCUCCUUGUCAUGCCAGUAACGUUAGAUGCCAUCAGGACCGUCAAGAGAGAAUAAAACGUUCUUCCACUUUCCAAAGCCUUCUCUGGCAGACGCGGUCUGAUGGUUAUUCACCAGUAACAACCUUCAUUCGGGCCAAGGAUGAUGCUGUGUCUUGAUGGACAGCCAAUAGGAUCCUCCGACUCAGGGUUGGUGAUAUUUUUAGGGGCUACCACUUGAUUUGUUUUUUGUUUUGUUAUUUACUACAUCGGCGGGGGGUGCACGGCGGGCGAGUGGUUAGCGCGUAGACCUCACAGCUAGGAGACCAGGGUUCAAUUCCACCCUCAGCCAUCUCUGUGUGGAGUUUGCAUGUUCUCCCUGUGUAUGUGUGGGUUUGCUCCGGGUACUCCUGUUUCCUCCCACAUUCCAAAAACAUGCUAGGUUAAUUGGCGACUCCAAAUUGUCCAUAGGUAUGAAUGCGAGUGUGAAUGGUUGUUUGUCUAUAUGUGCCCUGUGAUUGGCUGGCGACCAGUCCAGGGUGUACCCCGCCUCUUUUUUUUUGUCUCACUCCCAUUCCUUUUUUGCAUUUUGAAUCUCUACUUAGAAGAUCCAAUAGGGAAUAGUCCAAUAGUGAACACAAAAUGUAGCUUUUAAUUAACACUUAAUUUAAUAACUUUAAUUUAAUCUUAUUAAUGGAGGAAAAAAGACAAACCUACAUGGAAGUGAUUGCCCCCGCCCUCCUAUUAAUACAUAACUGCGAUUAAUUGAAAUCUAUCAGUCUGGAAAAAGGUUAUAAAGCCAUUUCUAAAGCUUUGGAACUCCAGCCAACCACAGUGAGAGCCAUUAUCCACAAAUUGUGAAAACAUGGAACAGUGGUGAACCUUCCAAGGAGUGUCCGUCGUGCAGCCCUCCAAUAAUAAUAAUAAUAAUAAUAAUAUGCAUAUUAAUAAUAAUAAUAAUAAUAAUAAUAAUAAAUAGUAUAUCCA
This is a non-coding RNA of Doryrhamphus excisus (bluestripe pipefish), 4601 nucleotides long. The record is from RefSeq and is a predicted model, not a curated record. NCBI's taxonomy places the organism in Eukaryota, Metazoa, Chordata, Actinopteri, Syngnathiformes, Syngnathidae.